ACCCCCAGGUUUGCAGGUGCGGGCUAGACCAGGAAGUGUAGAAGAGUAAAGUCUUCAGUUAUGUAAUAGAAUGGUUAGAUGUGGACAUGAUGAACUAAUGUGUAUUGAAAAAGUGUUGAAAGGUCAUGUAAUGUAAUGAUAUGAUAUUGAGGACUAGAGUAGUGCUUGACCAUAUGUGUUGUUAUCCCUUGAUACAUGAUCUAUAGAUUUUCUUAUGAUGAUUAUGUUUGACCAGGCUCAAUGUAUGUAUGAGAUACCCCAUUGGAGCAUUUGAUGAGGGCUCCAGUGGAGGUUUAUGUUUAUGUCUAUGAGAAUGCACAAGUUGAGUUUGGUUGAUGUAUGAGAAAGUUUACAGGUUUAUGCAUAUGUAUGAUCAUGUAUGGGAUUGAACAGGUUCACAGGUUAUAUGUCAGGCUUGCU
This 420-nucleotide long non-coding RNA is filed under the name Manihot esculenta (cassava). Its description in RNAcentral is "long non-coding RNA (MESC_LNC012407)". Lineage: Eukaryota; Viridiplantae; Streptophyta; Magnoliopsida; Malpighiales; Euphorbiaceae. The record is from RNAcentral.